Molecule: ribosomal RNA, 526 nt
Filed under: uncultured bacterium
Lineage: Bacteria
Description: partial 16S ribosomal RNA
Rfam family: Bacterial small subunit ribosomal RNA
Source: RNAcentral
ACUCAAAUGAAUUGACGGAAGCUCGCACAAGCGGUGGAGCAUGUGGUUUAAUUCGAUAUAACGCGGGUAAUCUUACCAGAGCUUGUAUAACUUUAAAGUGGUAUGUCAAGUAUUAUUAUUUGCUUUUUUAAGCAUAGAAGUUACAGGUGCUGCAUGGCUGUCGUCAGUUCGUGUUGUGAGAUGUUUGGUUUGUUCCAAAAACGAACGUAAUCCUCGAACUAUUUUGCCCUUUUGUAUUUCAAUAAUUAUUUUAUUUUAUUCUAAGGAAAAUAAGUUUACUGCCGCAGAAAUGCGGAGGAAGGAGAGGAAGAUGUCAAGUCAGUAUGGCCUUUAUGUUUUGGGCUACACACGUGCUACAAUGGCUUUUACAAUAAGUAGCCAAAGGGUGACCUUUAGCAAAUCUUUUAAAAUAAGUCGCAGUUCGAAUUGUUCCUUGUAAUUCAGGAACAUGAAGUUGGAAUCGCUAGUAAUCGUGGAUUAGAACGUUACGGUGAAUAUGUUCUCGAGCUUAGUACACACCGCCCGU